This is a long non-coding RNA of Lolium perenne, 1323 nucleotides long. RefSeq lists it as uncharacterized. The record is from RefSeq and is a predicted model, not a curated record. Lineage: Eukaryota; Viridiplantae; Streptophyta; Magnoliopsida; Poales; Poaceae.
UGACCAGCAGCGCCCUGCGGCGCCGCGCACCAGUACAUUAGCCCUCGCCUCGCUCCAUGGGGCUUGGAAGUGCGGGGUACUGACUACUGAGGCCUUGUUUGGCACUGGGAUAUUCGGGGGGAUUCGCGGGGAUUAUCCCGGCCCAACUCCAAAUCCCCGCUUUUCCCUGAGUAGUCCUUUGGUACUGGUGUUUUGGGGCAAAAAAUCCCAUGUCAUCCCCGGUCAUCCCCGUCCCCAAUCCACUUUUUGCCUAAGAUUAAAUCCACGCCCCUAGCCUCGCGUUAUCCCCGUCCCCAUCUUUCCCCGUCCAAAUUCUCGAGAGAGCUUCUCGCUAGCGACCGGCGACGAGUAGAACGGCGUCGAGCGGAGCGGCUGCGGGAGGGGAGGGAGAGGCGGAGCAUCUUACCCACGGGAGGGGAUGGAUCCUGCCUAGCCGCUCCUCAUCAGAUCGCCGCCGUUCUUGGAGUCCGACCGGCGCCGCCAUCUACUGCGGUUCCUCUCCGUUUGGCAGGUAAUUGCACAACAGGGAAGAAGAUUUUCAGUCCAGAUGAAGUAGUUGGAUGGAUUCAGUGUAGCUUCAGUUCAGAACGUACAUGUCGCUCACAUGCCAGCAAAAAGAAAACGCAUCUAGCCGCCGCCUCCCCCUAACCUCCCGGGUCGCCCCCGCCUGGGCGAUCCCGGAGGAACCACGCCGCCGCCUCCAGUCCGCCCCUCGCCGGCCCUGCCUGGCCGCUGCCGCUGCCCUCGCCGGCGGCGGUGGCGGCACCCUUCUCGCCAAAAGCGGAGGCCAGGGGAGGGCCCGUACGGCUUUGCAUCUGGGCGGGGGCGCAAGGUGUCGGCGGGCUUGGGUGAUCUGCAGAGGAGGGCUGCGGUGGGCAGCGCGGAGGUGUGGCGGCCGGCGGUGGUCUACGGCGGCAGUGAGGUUCCGGUGGCAGCGGCGGCUUGAUCUAAGCCGGGUCGGCUGCUUGGGCCGUUCCCACCAAGCCUGUAGCCGAGCAGGUUGCCUUCCUCGAUCGCGGCACGUCGUCUCCUCCUCUGCUGCCGGCCGAUGGCGUGGGGGCUGUUGGCGCGGCUGCUUUGAAUAAAGGUGGUUGUUCUAGGGUUCCUCUUGCGCGAAGAUGAAGAUCUGCCUGAGUGUGUCCUUCUUUGAUCUGGCCGGAGAGUUGAGUUCCGGAAGGGGUUGACAUUAGGAGUGCGGGUUAAUUUCUCUAGAACCAAAGGGUUAAACUGCAAACGACAGGAUUGAGGCUUAAUAGUAAAGAUUAUACAUUGUUUAAAUGCUCAUGCACAUGAAGUGGAGCAUCCAGGCUGUUUAUAUGUUGA